Non-coding RNA from Heteronotia binoei (common prickly gecko), 401 nucleotides. The record is from the annotation of a RefSeq genome assembly. NCBI's taxonomy places the organism in Eukaryota, Metazoa, Chordata, Lepidosauria, Squamata, Gekkonidae.
UAGAAAGCUUUUGUCUUGGGAACUGAAAACUCUUCUUGACAUCCACCAUGGCCUGGGCCCUGUUUCUGGUGACACUCCUCAGUUAUUUUUCAGGUGUCCAUUCACAGCGAAGUUGGACUCAGCCUGCCACACUGUCUGUGUCCCCAGGACAAACGGCUAAACUCCCCUGCACUGUCAGUGGAAGUGUAAGUUACUUCCACUGGGUUCGACAAAGACCUGGACAGGGCCCUCACUUCGUCAUCUAUGGCAGUACCCGGGGAGAAAGGAUCCCCGAUCGGUUCACUACUUCCAGCUCCGGGAGCACUUACUAUUUAACCAUCACUAAUGUCCAGACUGAAGAUGAGGCUGAUUAUUACUGUGUUGCAUGGGCUAGCAGCAUGUUACACAGUGCUAAACUCUGA